RNAcentral lists this ribosomal RNA (429 nucleotides) under Acidobacteriota bacterium. RNAcentral describes it as "Acidobacteria bacterium partial 16S ribosomal RNA". It matches the Rfam family "Bacterial small subunit ribosomal RNA", at positions 355 to 776 of the family's 1533-position model. The record is from RNAcentral. Lineage: Bacteria; Pseudomonadati; Acidobacteriota.
UGGGGAAUUUUGGACAAUGGGGGAAACCCUGAUCCAGCCAUCCCGCGUGUGCGAUGGAGGCCUUCGGGUUGUAAAGCACUUUUGGCAGGAAAGAAACGUCAUGGGUUAAUACCCCGUGAAACUGACGGUACCUGCAGAAUAAGCACCGGCUAACUACGUGCCAGCAGCCGCGGUAAUACGUAGGGUGCAAGCGUUAAUCGGAAUUACUGGGCGUAAAGCGUGCGCAGGCGGUUCGGAAAGAAAGAUGUGAAAUCCCAGAGCUCAACUUUGGAACUGCAUUUUUAACUACCGGGCUAGAGUGUGUCAGAGGGAGGUGGAAUUCCGCGUGUAGCAGUGAAAUGCGUAGAUAUGCGGAGGAACACCGAUGGCGAAGGCAGCCUCCUGGGAUAACACUGACGCUCAUGCACGAAAGCGUGGGGAGCAAACAGG